GGAUGGAAAACGUUUCCCCGGCGAAAACUUGUCCCCGCCGUAAAAGAGUUGCGGGGCGAAAGGGUGUCCCCCACGUGAAAAACCUGCCCAGAAAAAGGGGAUCCCACUUGGAAACAGGUGCUAAUACCGAAUAACCAUAGUUACCGAAAGGCAACUAUGUAAAAGGUGGCUAUGCUACCGCUUUUGGAUGGGCCCGCGGCGCAUUAGCUAGUUGGUGGGGUAAAGGCUUACCAAGGCAAUGACGCGUAGCCGAACUGAGAGGUUGAUCGGCCACAUUGGGACUGAGACACGGCCCAAACUCCUACGGGAGGCAGCAGUAGGGAAUCUUCCACAAUGGGCGAAAGCCUGAUGGAGCAACGCCGCGUGGGUGAAGAAGGUCUUCGGAUCGUAAAACCCUGUUGUUAGAGAAGAAAGUGCGUGAGAGUAACUGUUCACGUUUCGACGGUAUCUAACCAGAAAGCCACGGCUAACUACGUGCCAGCAGCCGCGGUAAUACGUAGGUGGCAAGCGUUAUCCGGAUUUAUUGGGCGUAAAGGGAACGCAGGCGGUCUUUUAAGUCUGAUGUGAAAGCCUUCGGCUUAACCGGAGUAGUGCAUUGGAAACUGGGAGACUUGAGUGCAGAAGAGGAGAGUGGAACUCCAUGUGUAGCGGUGAAAUGCGUAGAUAUAUGGAAGAACACCAGUGGCGAAAGCGGCUCUCUGGUCUGUAACUGACGCUGAGGU
Molecule: ribosomal RNA, 722 nt
Filed under: uncultured Bacillota bacterium
Lineage: Bacteria; Bacillati; Bacillota
Description: bacterial SSU rRNA
Rfam family: Bacterial small subunit ribosomal RNA
Source: RNAcentral